Molecule: ribosomal RNA, 433 nt
Filed under: uncultured bacterium
Lineage: Bacteria
Description: partial 16S ribosomal RNA
Rfam family: Bacterial small subunit ribosomal RNA
Source: RNAcentral
AACGAACGCUGGCGGCAUGCCUAACACAUGCAAGUCGAACGAGACCUUCGGGUCUAGUGGCGCACGGGUGCGUAACGCGUGGGCACCUGCCCUUAGGUUCGGAAUAACUCCCUGCACGGGGUGCUAAUACCGGAUAAUGUCUUCGGACCAAAGAUUUAUCGCCUUUGGAUGGGCCCGCGUUGGAUUAGCUAGUUGGUAGGGUAAAAGCCUACCAAGGCGACGAUACAUAGCUGGUCUGAGAGGAUGAUCAGCCACACUGGGACUGAGACACGGCCCAGACUCCUACGGGAGGCAGCAGUGGGGAAUAUUAGACAAUCAGCGAAAGCCUGAGCCAGCAAUGCCGCGGGAGUGUUGAAGGCCUUAGGGUUGUAAAGCUCUUUUACCCGGGAUGAUAAUGACAGUACCGGGAGAAUAAGCUCCGGCUAACUCCGUG